AAUGUUUAUUUUUGUUACUUUUCAUAAACCCUCCAUUCCAGGGUCUACAUGCAAAAGUUCUGUUAUUUUAGAGUCAAGCUAUUGUUACUAAGGGAUUUAUUUUGGCAAUUUAGUCAUUUGUUAGGUUAUAAGGCUGCAGAAACUUUUAGUUGAGGUUGAGGUUUGACGUUCUACAGCUGCGACCCACCAUCGCUGGGCCACCGCGGCGGCAUCACCUUCAGGGUGGACCUGCCCGUGGCCAUCCGCCGGUCGGACCCGCCUGCAGUCCGCAGGGAAGCUGCCCUGCGAGCCAUUGCAGAGCUCCCGCACCCGGACGUCACUAUCUGGUCGGACGGCUCGGCUCGCGGCGGGACGGAACAGGGCGGCGUAGGCGCUGAUCCAGUUCCACCGCCUCAACAGAGAAGAGACCGUGCGCGCUCCUGCAGGGGCGAUCUGCUCCAGCCUAAGAGCAGAACUGACCGCCAUGCGUUAGGCGUUCGCGGCUGUGGCCGGCCUGGAAGACGGGGAGUUGGCAUCGACCAAGUCGGUCCGCCUCCUCACCGACUCAAGGUCUGGGCUCCAACUACUCGGCCGCGGCCCAGCUAACCAGACCAUGGCCCUGGCCGCCGAGGUGUGGAGGCUGUUGAGUGCUGAGCAUCCUCGCCGAGAACGGCACCAAGACGGUGCUCCAGUGGGUGCCAGGCCAUGCCGGGCUGGACGGCAACGAAACCGCCGACCGCCUGGCUGGCGAGGCUACGGCGGGCGACCAAGACAGUGCACCGAUCGACCUGUCGAGUGCGCGGGCCGCCGUCACGCGCCAUGUCCGGGAGCUGUCGCGACAGAGGGCAACCGCUGCCCACCCGCACCCGGACCCCACGCCUGGCCACGACUCCCUGGCGCGCUGGGGGUCGGUGACGCUGUCCCAGCUGAGGACCGGCACAUCACCGCUGACCCGUGACACGCUCCACAAGAUUGGCCCGGCAGCCGACGACGAAUGCCCCGCGUGCGGGGAGCCCGACAGCGCGGCGCACCUACUGACCGAUUGUCCGGCCUAUGAGGCGGCCCGCCGCCGCCGCUGGGGUGUCGACCCUCGCCUGGUCGACGUCCUCGGCGGCCCGGCGACGAAGGUCGUCACCUUCAUCGAGGAUGCUGGGCGGACCGAGCCGCCGCUCGACCCGCCUGCGCCGCCCCCCCCCCCCCCCCCUGAGCGGGUUGGCGGUGGGAUGCAGAAGAAGAAGAAGAAGCAACUGCCAGCGCGCCACGGCGGCGAAGCCGAGUUCCGCCGCUGGACCGCCCGCGCAAUAGCCAGCACAGACAAGAGACAACCGAAUUACAACACCUACAAUUACGUUAUUGUUAUGGUAUUGACAUUGUUACAAUUAACCCUGCUCUUUCGAGCGUGGAUGCACGCUGAAAUUGUCGCAUAAUUCCAUGCAGCUUCCACCCUUCUGCAAUACAAAGUUUGAAUACAAAGUAGUCUUGCAAUAGGUUUAGAGCUUAUGUGCAGAUGCUGGUUGACUUGAUAAUUGGAAUUGUGUUUAUCUGUUUCAUCUGUUUUGACUUAAAUAUAUGGCCAUGGACUAUGGCCUACCUUGGGAA
Molecule: long non-coding RNA, 1578 nt
Filed under: Amphibalanus amphitrite
Lineage: Eukaryota; Metazoa; Arthropoda; Thecostraca; Balanomorpha; Balanidae
Description: uncharacterized LOC122387166
Source: RNAcentral